GGAGAAGAGCUUUGAAGGCAGUAGUAAGAGAAGGGAGGACAGACAGUCCCACGAUUCAGUCUGUUCUCCUCCUCCUUGCCCUGAGUAGUUAUUUUCACCAGUACCCCUCUCCUCCCCCCCAAAACAUCCAUUCUGGUCCAACGCUGAGGCAGGGGGUGUGGUGUUAGGGCUCAGCACUCCCUUGUGCAAGUCUGAGGAAGAGGAGAGAGCGGGACAGGGGUACUGAACAUCGAGGGGAAACGCAAGUCUUCAUCACCUGCCGCAAACAGCUGCUGCUGUGUCCCCUAAAGACACCGACAGAACCCAGUGAACAGUCCCAUACAGUAUACUGGACAUGGAGGCGGGACCUGAUGAGGGAGCAGUGGGGGCUGCGUCUGCCAACGAGGCCUCCGAGACGACCCCCAGCGACACGUCGUCAGGCACACUGACCAGUCAGCAGCUAGCUGCUAUUGAGGAUGAAGAAGUCCUGAAUAAACUGGUGGGGCACUCGCGUUGGAUAAGGCUGUGGAUUUUGAUGAAAGGCGAAUGAUCCGUGCCGCAUUGAGAGACCUGCUCAAGAAGAAGAGAGAGAAGCGAGAGAAAGAGCGGGGGUCACGGCAAGAUGACCUGAGACAGCAGGCUUUGAGUAAAGCAGGCACAGGACGAAUGGGAAUGAACAGGGGCCAGACCAGCAAUCACCAGCCUAAAUCCCACAUGCACAGCCAAUUUCCUGCGUCAACCACCAGCUCCUUGUCUAAGACAACUAGCAGCAUGGCCAACCCAGCUAUCGCAACAGCCCAUCAGUCUUCCCCUGUCGCUGCAGCACCCAACAUGAAAAAUGUCAAGCAGAUGUUACUGGAUUGGUGCAGGGCCAAAACCGAACCAUAUGAGGUAAGCAUCGGAGGUCUCUCUGUAAAGGAGUGUACGUUCACUAAAUGUUGCUAGUCAAACAAAAGCUGGCCUCAAUCUUAGUUAGGAAAGACGUCAACAACUCCAGUUCCAGUUAUGAUGUUUAAUGGCAAAUGAUGUUGAAUACUGUGUGUAAGUCUGUGUGUGUGGUUUUGUUACAUGAACGCACACGUGUACAGAGUUAUUAUCGGUAAGGAAACAAGAAAAGGCAAGGUGCGCCGGGGGGAAAUAUGUUGCUGCAUUCAAGAAGUUUGGGCAGGUUCUGACCGAAGGAUAUGCAACAACAUAUCUACUCAUGCACAGAAACAGGUGAGUGAGGCAGCACUCAGAAGAGCAGGGAAUAUUAUACAGCUGCCCCCAAUUACAUAGGCAUAUUGUAAUUAAAUGUAAAGUUCCCACAGAGUUCUGGGGUGCUGUACAUGAAAAACUCAACCAACAAUGGAGCUGGUUAGGUAUAGGUAAGGGCUGUGAAAAAGAGUUCCUCUGCUUUGGAAGGAUUUGCCCAGCUAACAAUUCUAGGGAGAGAGAACAUGUUUGCAAUGUUACCAGUCAUGUUCCCCUAAUGUUUGAGUGUCCAGUUUUCCGUUAGUUAAGGGAACAUUCUAUCUAUGUUAGUAAAAAAGCUUCUGAGAUCCUUUUUAGCAUGUUUUGUCAUUGAAGUUAGGAGAACAUCCCCUUAAUGUCAAGUAGACGUU
This is a long non-coding RNA of Oncorhynchus tshawytscha (Chinook salmon), 1583 nucleotides long. NCBI's taxonomy places the organism in Eukaryota, Metazoa, Chordata, Actinopteri, Salmoniformes, Salmonidae. The record is from Ensembl.